RNAcentral lists this ribosomal RNA (850 nucleotides) under Halomonas sp. D4_(MB)_50.02mbsf. Its description in RNAcentral is "bacterial SSU rRNA". It matches the Rfam family "Bacterial small subunit ribosomal RNA", at positions 55 to 903 of the family's 1533-position model. Lineage: Bacteria; Pseudomonadati; Pseudomonadota; Gammaproteobacteria; Oceanospirillales; Halomonadaceae. The record is from RNAcentral.
AUGCAGUCGAGCGGUAACAGAUCUAGCUUGCUAGAUGCUGACGAGCGGCGGNNGGGUGAGUAAUGCAUAGGAAUCUGCCCUGUAGUGGGGGAUAACCUGGGGAAACCCAGGCUAAUACCGCAUACGUCCUACGGGAGAAAGGGGGCUUCGGCUCCCGCUACGGGAUGAGCCUAUGUCGGAUUAGCUAGUUGGUGAGGUAACGGCUCACCAAGGCGACGAUCCGUANCUGGUCUGAGAGGAUGAUCAGCCACAUCGGGACUGAGACACGGCCCGAACUCCUACGGGAGGCAGCAGUGGGGAAUAUUGGACAAUGGGGGGAACCCUGAUCCAGCCAUGCCGCGUGUGUGAAGAAGGCCUUCGGGUUGUAAAGCACUUUCAGCGAGGAAGAACGCCUAGUGGUUAAUACCCAUUAGGAAAGACAUCACUCGCAGAAGAAGCACCGGCUAACUCCGUGCCAGCAGCCGCGGUAAUACGGAGGGUGCAAGCGUUAAUCGGAAUUACUGGGCGUAAAGCGCGCGUAGGUGGCUUGAUAAGCCGGUUGUGAAAGCCCCNGGCUCAACCUGGGAACGGCAUCCGGAACUGUCAGGCUAGAGUGCAGGAGAGGAAGGUAGAAUUCCCGGUGUAGCGGUGAAAUGCGUANAGAUCGGGAGGAAUACCAGUGGCGAAGGCGGCCUUCUGGACUGACACUGACACUGAGGUGCGAAAGCGUGGGUAGCAAACAGGAUUAGAUACCCUGGUAGUCCACGCCGUAAACGAUGUCGACCAGCCGUUGGGUGCCUAGAGCACUUUGUGNCNAAGUUAACGCGAUAAGUCNACCGCCUGGGGAGUACGGCCGCAAGGUUAAAACUCA